RNAcentral lists this ribosomal RNA (253 nucleotides) under uncultured bacterium. RNAcentral describes it as "partial 16S ribosomal RNA". It matches the Rfam family "Bacterial small subunit ribosomal RNA", at positions 524 to 776 of the family's 1533-position model. The record is from RNAcentral.
UACGGAGGGCGCGAGCGUUAAUCGGAAUUACUGGGCGUAAAGCGCGCGUAGGCUGUUGUGUAAGUUGGGGGUGAAAUCCCACGGCUCAACCGUGGAACAGCCCUUGAUACUGCGCGACUUGAAUCCGGGAGAGGGCGGCGGAAUUCCAGGUGUAGGAGUGAAAUCCGUAGAUAUCUGGAGGAACAUCAGUGGCGAAGGCGGCCACCUGGACCGGUAUUGACGCUGAGGCGCGAAAGCGUGGGGAGCAAACAGG